This 195-nucleotide ribosomal RNA is filed under the name uncultured beta proteobacterium WkA44. Its description in RNAcentral is "partial 16S ribosomal RNA". It matches the Rfam family "Bacterial small subunit ribosomal RNA", at positions 338 to 524 of the family's 1533-position model. Lineage: Bacteria; Pseudomonadati; Pseudomonadota; Betaproteobacteria. The record is from RNAcentral.
CCUACGGGAGGCAGCAGUGGGGAAUUUUGGACAAUGGGCGCAAGCCUGAUCCAGCAAUGCCGCGUGAGUGAAGAAGGCCCUUCGGGUUGUAAAGCUCUUUUGUCAGGGAAGAAACGGUGAGAGCUAAUAUCUCUUGCUAAUGACGGUACCUGAAGAAUAAGCACCGGCUAACUACGUGCCAGCAGCCGCGGUAAU